AUUUGAGCACUCCGCUAGCAGUUAAGGAUUUUCCCAGAGUUUUGUGGAUGCUUGGAUGUCAGGAUGUCACUUUUUUUUUUUUUUCAGAAGGCACUCAGAAAACCUGAAAUUGAAAUUGGCUUGUAUUGAUGGCUAGAUAGAGCUGAGAAGCAGACAACUGGAAUUUCUCUCUCAGAAAGCAAGUAUUCAGUUAAGUCAGUAAAUCCCCCUAUGACACUUUAAUCCUAAGCCAGAGUGUGAAGUCUCAUGCAAUGAAACAAAUGUCCACACCAUUAAGGAGGACUCUCAGAAGCCUCUUUUAGCUGCUGGAAACAAAGCCAUGCUAACAUGCUGUUCGUUCCCUAAAUGUUUCCCAGUUGUAAGCUGUAAUGGGCAAAUACAUUACCUUUCAGCACAGCUGUGAUUAAAAACGGCAGGAUUGCUAAGCUGGCUGCGUGUGGAACUCCCCGAGAACGCGCAGCGGUGCGAUGUGAUGUCUUUCCUCUCUUCUUAACUUCUGCCACAGCUGAAAUGCAAAGCUUGGGGCAGCGAAGGGCGAUGCGCUACUCAGAGCACUAAACACCCGAGUGUGUUUCAUUACAGGAGCCUUUUUUUCCCAUUCCACCCUUGGACUCCCGCUGCUACAAAUAAUUGUUCCAGUGGGUGCUUUGGUCAAAGCAAGUGCUCAAAAAUGUCUCUGUAGGGUCAAGCUUAGGAAAAUCAGUCGUUCUUUAUCUGGGCUCUGUAUUCGCAAGUAGCAGCGUGGUGGGUAGAGUUUGUUCUCAGUGUAUUCAGCCUGCAAGACCACUGCAUAAAAGGGUAAAACAUGAUGGAAGGAGCUGUUUGCUUGAUCAGAUGCCAUCUGCUUAUCAUCAGGCUCAUCUGGAGCCCUGUUUCCUCUGUAGGUCGGUUCCAGGUGUGUGUGUUCGGUCUGCAGACACGGCUGCCCUCUGAUGCUGAGCUAUUCCCUCAUCUCUUGCCUUGUGCUCUCCGCUCUGCCUGUACUUGCCCGUUGCCUGUCACCUUACUUUUGUACUGUAAAUUUUGGAGGUCAGAGAGAGGUUGGGGUUUUUUUAGUAUUAUUUUUUGUUGCUCCACAUUCACUUUGUUACCGAGCCUGAUGGGUUCUCACCUGGGGUAAGAGAGAGCCUUAAGCCAUCCCCAGCCUAUAAAUUAUAAACAGAAUUGUCUUUAACUUGCAGAUUUUGAGCAAAUCUUUCUCAGAGUAGCACUGGAGGUGGUGACGAGGGCUGAGGUUGGUUGUCUGACAAGUGUGAAGUUCUCACGGCUGUCUGGCGAGGCUGCCGGCUGCCUGCUUCCUGCAAAGUCCUCCUUGUACAGCUGGCUCCGACUCUGGGCCUUUAACAGCGACGAGUCGCGGUGCAGCUUGGCUUUAUCCAGCACACGCUCCCGCUGCGCUUCGCCCUUGCUGUCCAGUCCUCCCG
Cygnus olor (mute swan) is the source of this 1424-nucleotide long non-coding RNA. RefSeq lists it as uncharacterized. The transcript is spliced from 3 exons. NCBI's taxonomy places the organism in Eukaryota, Metazoa, Chordata, Aves, Anseriformes, Anatidae. The record is from RefSeq and is a predicted model, not a curated record.